CAAGCUGCAGUGGGGUGGGGACUUCAGAAGAGGCCACUUGUGAGCUGGCCAUGUUGGGGGAGCAGACUUUGCGCUCCUGGAGAGCAGGGACUGUGCAUCUGUGCUCACUUCCCAGUGCCGUGGCACAGGGCAGUGACGCCAGGACAGAUAAUGCCACACGCGGCUGCUCUUUGCAGAGUGCUCCCCGCCAGGCACUGGGCUCAGUGCUCUCCCUGCAGGCCUUCUCUCAGCCACGAUCCGAGUCCUGGUAGCUACACACAGAGCUCUGCAAUCAGCCUGACGAUUCCACGCCGCCCAGCUCAAACUAGCUGAGGCGCUGCAGACCUCAGCCAACAAGGAGCUUCUCCAAUCCCCCAGCAGGAGCUCCCCAAAGCAGACUCUGGGUCAAAGAUUCAACUGCAAGUAAUUUGCUUAGGAGAUGCCCCCAGGAAGUGCUACGAGAGAGGCAGAAGGCAGGCAGGGAGGCAGGAAGCAGGGAGAGCCAUGAAAAUGUGUGGUAAGGAGGUUACAGCUCAGGUCCUGGCUUGGGCCCCCAGGGAGUGCCCUCUGAGAGCCUAUGUGGAAGCAACCUCAGAGCUUUCUCUCUGGAAGGUCGAUGAAGCUGUGUUGCUAACCCACCAACUUCCACCCUCAUAGGUGAGGGCUGCAGCUUUUCUGGCACUUCUGGCUUGCCCUGGGCUUGCCCUGGCAGAGUGAGAGCCCUGAGUCAGGGAGACUCUGGGAGCCAAUUGCAUGCUUGGGAACUGCCUGCCCAUGACACCCAGGGGAACCCGAUGGGCCGGCAUGGACAGCUUCUGCCACUGGCUCCCAAAACAGCAGUGCACACAUAGGAGGAGGAAGCAGGACGACUUCUGGAUUAGAGCCUCUGGGCUUACAGGAACCAACUCUGAGCUGAAGCCACUGGCCAGGCUCUUGAAUAUGAUAAGAGAAUCACAGCAUGCGGCUCAGCACGUGGCUCAAGGCGGAUGUCAGCCCCGCUGGACACCAUGCUCCCCUCAGCCCUGCAUCUUCUUUCAGGCUGUCCCUUCUGCCCGGACAACGCUCUCCCACUCCCCUCCCCUCCUCACCCCUAGUCCCUUCACCUAAUUAACUCCUGGGCAUUCCUCGGGGCUCUGUCUUAAUGUCACCUCCUCUGAGAGCCCUCCUUGAUGCUCCAGAUUGGGUCAAGCAUAUUAUGAACCAUCACAAGGCCAUGCAUUCCUCCUGCAGAACCUGAGCUCAACAGAAAUAAAUCAAAACUUCACUCACCAGGGUAUCCUCAGAGUUCAUUGCCACAUCUGCCUCAUC
Molecule: long non-coding RNA, 1287 nt
Filed under: Homo sapiens (human)
Lineage: Eukaryota; Metazoa; Chordata; Mammalia; Primates; Hominidae
Description: HSALNT0164102
Source: RNAcentral